Prunus dulcis (almond) is the source of this 513-nucleotide long non-coding RNA. RefSeq lists it as uncharacterized. Lineage: Eukaryota; Viridiplantae; Streptophyta; Magnoliopsida; Rosales; Rosaceae. The transcript has 2 exons. The record is from RefSeq and is a predicted model, not a curated record.
CUGACCCUUUGGCAUUUGAGGUUCGGCUCUCAGAACUGUGUGCUUUGCAAUACUAACAACAGCAUUCUCCAGGGUGAAAGCUGGAGUAGCAGCUGGAAUGCCAGUAGUGGCCUUCGUUAUUGAAGAGACUUUGAGGACCCAAAAUUGUGGGAAGCACUGGAAGAGAUUGAGAGGAAGGCGGAGUAACAACAGUUGCAACUUGAAAUGGCAAUCACAUAAGCUUUUCUAUUUCUGUUCCUGUACUGCUUAGUCAUUCGGACACCCCCAGUGGAAUUUAUUUGUUCGUUGUAAAUUUUGAGAUAAUACGCUUAAUUAGUGAAAUUGAGGGCCAUAACGAGAAAAUUUUACAGAUGUGAAAUUGAUUGUUUGGAAUUGGCAAGCAGCAAGGUGGGAUGAGAUUAUACUUAGUUGUAGGUCCUGGUGGUUAAAGUAAAUUCACAAUGUAAGUUUCCUGUAAAAUUCGGGAAUUUGAUCAUAAUUAAGAUCCUCGUGAUAAACCAUUCAUUUAGUUCA